RNAcentral lists this transfer RNA (74 nucleotides) under Ignavibacteriales bacterium. Its description in RNAcentral is "tRNA-Ser". It matches the Rfam family "tRNA". From Rfam's summary of the family: Transfer RNA (tRNA) molecules are approximately 80 nucleotides in length. Their secondary structure includes four short double-helical elements and three loops (D, anti-codon, and T loops). Further hydrogen bonds mediate the characteristic L-shaped molecular structure. tRNAs have two regions of fundamental functional importance: the anti-codon, which is responsible for specific mRNA codon recognition, and the 3' end, to which the tRNAs corresponding amino acid is attached (by aminoacyl-tRNA synthetases). tRNAs cope with the degeneracy of the genetic code in two manners: having more than one tRNA (with a specific anti-codon) for a particular amino acid; and 'wobble' base-pairing, i.e. permitting non-standard base-pairing at the 3rd anti-codon position. The record is from RNAcentral. Lineage: Bacteria; Pseudomonadati; Ignavibacteriota; Ignavibacteria; Ignavibacteriales.
GCCCUCGUAGCUCAAAUGGAUAGAGCGACAGUCUGCUAAACUGUGGGUUGAGGGUUCAAUUCCCUCCGAGGGCA